AGGCAGAACGCGAACGCCAUCACCGUCGUCACAACCCGUGCCUCAAGGAACAGAGAACUUCAAAGACCAUGCUGAGCACCAAAUCAAAAACAAGUUUAAAGUAAGAGCUACUACAACUGAACUGGAGCACAGGGAAUAACUACAAUCCAGAAAGUAUCCUUCGUGGAGACUAGAAACGCUUGCACGAAGGGCGGUUGACGCAGCAUGGGCUGUGCUCCUAGCCUGGGACCCAGGUCGUGGCUGUCCGUGUCCCUGGGGCUGCGUACACUCAGAGAUUUAGAACAGUUGGAAAUUUUGUAAUGGGUUACACCACCCACUUUUAUAGUAGCAUUUGAAAUCCUCAGAUUACCCACUUAGGGCAUAUAUUUUUACCACGCUUAUUUUUUUCUUAGUGUGUACUCUGCAGUCCACAAAGUACGGUGUAUAACCUGUACAUUCUAUGUAUUUUGGGCCAUAUGAAGCAAAUAGGAAUCUUAAAUUGUAGGGUUUUUGUUUGUUUAGAAGGGUCGCACGUUUGCAUUUAUGGUGGACUGUUUUGUUGAACUGUGGGUUCUGGUCUGGAAGAAUGGUCUUGUAUUUGGGUGAUGCCCCUGCAUAGGGAAAAGACAUAGCCAGCUUCACGUUUCUCAGAAAUUAUUGGUAAUGAAAACUUCGAGGGCACUCUUCAGAAUUUUCUGCUUUUUUUAUAUGUAAAAUAGGUUCUUUUUAAAUAGGAUUAAAAGGUGACUUAGCUUUUCAA
This 739-nucleotide long non-coding RNA is filed under the name Rattus norvegicus (Norway rat). Its description in RNAcentral is "long non-coding RNA NONRATT009066". The record is from RNAcentral. Lineage: Eukaryota; Metazoa; Chordata; Mammalia; Rodentia; Muridae.